AAAGGUGAACCUCAGACGUCAUACCAGCCACCGCCACCCAUUGCAACCCACCGCAUUUUGCGGUGCAAGUUGAGCUACUUUUAGCUGGUUCCUAAUAAAGGCCAGGUGGGAAUUGGAGACCGGGGAAAGUUGGAAAGCAGAUUGCAAGCGAUAUCAGUGCACACACCCGUAUUCCUUAGCCGUAACGAUUUCCUGUUCGAACUGUGAUGGAUGAUGGCCAAAUCUGAAUGGAGGAUGAGGAAUCCUGCUGCAUGCAAAGUUCUUAAGUACACGCAACACUGGGCUGAGUUAAUGGAAACUACAACUACAACUUUAACUACAACUUCAACUUCAGCCAGCAUCAUACACCGUGCAUCGCGUUUCACGCCCGAUGCACCUUAAUUGCCAGCUGUUUCCCACUCUUUGAAACACCAUUUCAUACGCACUUAAUUACGUAUACGCCAUGGGGCACACAGCAUUUACGGCUCAUCAUGCUGCAAAUUAUGGGCGAGUUUAAUGGCUUGGUUAGUAUUUCCAGCUUUAAGAUGCUAUUUAAUUGUACAAUUUGUGCUUUAAUACAUGCAUAACUGAAAAA
Long non-coding RNA from Drosophila elegans, 574 nucleotides. RefSeq lists it as uncharacterized. The transcript has 2 exons. The record is from RefSeq and is a predicted model, not a curated record. Lineage: Eukaryota; Metazoa; Arthropoda; Insecta; Diptera; Drosophilidae.